Molecule: unclassified non-coding RNA, 522 nt
Filed under: Hevea brasiliensis (rubber tree)
Lineage: Eukaryota; Viridiplantae; Streptophyta; Magnoliopsida; Malpighiales; Euphorbiaceae
Source: RNAcentral
ACUUCUGAUGGAUGCAUAAACCUUAGCAGAAAACAGAACCAUAUUGGCAAAAUUUGAUAUUCUGAUAGCAAAGGUCUCACUUCUAGCCAAAUUAUCCUGCUCUUCCUUUGACAUUCCAGGAAUAAAGCCACGCUCCGCUAAGGCAUCCAUUUCAUUAAAGUCCUCGAGCAUUUCCACCUGCUGCUGAUAGUAAUCAGCAACAUCAUCUUCUGGACCUAAAACACCAAGGCAAUCAUGGCGGCCAUGAGGCGGCUUUUUCUCUUUGUGCUCCGCAGAUAGGUGAUAUCCCUCGAAGUUUAACCGCCAUGACUGAUCACCAUUGCUGUUGAGGGGCAACAGUGAAAGCUCCUCCUCGUGCUGGUGGUUUACCGGUUCCACCAUUCUCUGGUCACUCACUGGCCGCCACCAGAUUCAAGAAGCUCUCAAGUGCAAGUGUUUUUAAUAAUAUAAUGUGUUCCUGGCGCAAACAGGGAUAGAGAAUGGAAAUUUAACGUCAAGAAAAGGGUAUUUUGGGGGUAGAAA